This 1039-nucleotide long non-coding RNA is filed under the name Sorghum bicolor (sorghum). RNAcentral describes it as "long non-coding RNA (SBIC_LNC014867)". Lineage: Eukaryota; Viridiplantae; Streptophyta; Magnoliopsida; Poales; Poaceae. The record is from RNAcentral.
GUCCAAUGAAUUUGUAUAUACUCAGUUACAGAUAGUGCACAUAUGCUUGAAAGGAGCCCUUUUCUCGAUUUUAUGUUCACUUUGCAAAGUUGCAAAGCUGUUGCAUGCUUGAUGUAUGAUUUACUUCCUCAAAUUCAGCACCUAGCUUCAACAAGGCAAUCUUUAGGCAUGGCAGGCAUAAGGAAUACCAGGCCACCCAGGACAGAAUUUCUCUCUCUCGGCAUGCUUUCCAUAUUUUGUUAGAAAAAGGGCCAAACCUUCCUAGCCUUGAUUAGAGGGAAGAAAAUUUCGUCCAGCCUCGAUUGAAAUUGCUUCCGCUGCAGCCCUACCUCAAAUGGAUGCCUCAUGAAAUAGGAAUCAAUCGCACACUUACUGCUAGCUCUCAGCAUAGUAGGCCAUUGGAUGACUCAACUCCAGAAAUAAGGACACGGGACUAGAAUCCACUGGCCAUAUCUCUGCGAUAAAGCCAGACAGUUCCAGAUAACUGCUGCCAGCCGCCACAUCCUUCUGUCUAAGCAUAGGCCAGCUAUGGCACUGCAGCCAGAUGUUGUAUAUCAGUUCAUUCAAUCAUGCAGGUCAGGCCAUGGUUUCAGUAGUGGUGGCCAGCCGGAGAGCUUCACUACUCAGAAGAGACAGAAAAAAGCACAGAUGAGAAGGAAAAUUUGGGCCGAGUUUUGGGCACAGACAUAUAAGUUGGUGUAUAUUUUUUCAGACAUGACCAUGUACAAAAUGGCAGAAAUUGCAGACUCUACCAAUUGUAGAUAGGAGUCAUGUAUGCAUGAUGGCCGGUUUUUUUCAUGAGAGCUGGGGAUUGACGUGAUACAUCCUGAACAAAAAAUGGCAUGCAUUGAAUAAGUUUUCAAAUGGCCUGCUUUCGUGGCUGAAUGCUUAGAGCUGACUGAGUUUGUGAAGAUUAACAAAAGUGUCCAUGCUAUUGCCAUGAUAACAGACUGACAAUAGACUGAUUCGCAGUGCAAAGUAUACUGAAUAAAAGCUCUACUUUACUUUCUUUACAUCUACAAUACAAGUUACAUGCGAU